CCCUACGGGGCGCAGCAGGCGCGAAAUCUUCACAAUGUGCGAAAGCACGAUGAGGGGAUCCCAAGUGUUGGUUCGUAAGAAUCAUCUGUUUCUUUGUCUAAAAAACAGAGAGAGUAAGAGCUGGGUAAGACGGGUGCCAGCCGCCGCGGUAAUACCUGCAGCUCAAGUGGUGGCCGCUAUUAUUGGGCCUAAAACGUCCGUAGCCGGUUUAGUAAAUGCUUGGGUAAAUUGUGUAGCUCAACUAUACGAAUACCGAGUAGACUGCUGAACUUGGGACCGGGAGAGGCUAGAGGUACUCCUAGGGUAGAGGUGAAAUUCUGUAAUCCUAGGGGGACCACCAGUGGCGAAGGCGUCUAGCUAGAACGGGUCUGACGGUGAGGGACGAAGCCCUGGGGCGCAAACCGGAUUAGAUACCCGGGUAGUCCAGGGUGUAAACGCUGCUCGCUUGAUGUUAGUUGGGCUCCGAGCCCAACUAGUGUCGGAGAGAAGUUGUUAAGCGAGCUGCCUGGGAAGUACGGUCGCAAGGCUGAAACUUAAAGGAAUUGGCGGGGGAGCAC
RNAcentral lists this ribosomal RNA (557 nucleotides) under uncultured archaeon. RNAcentral's name for it is "bacterial SSU rRNA". It matches the Rfam family "Archaeal small subunit ribosomal RNA", at positions 321 to 879 of the family's 1478-position model. The record is from RNAcentral.